UGGGGAAUCUUCCGCAAUGGGCGAAAGCCUGACGGAGCAAUGCCGCGUGGAGGUAGAAGGCCCACGGGUCGUAAACUCCUUUUCUCGGAGAAGAAGCAGUGACGGUAUCCGAAGAAUAAGCAUCGGCUAACUCUGUGCCAGCAGCCGCGGUAAGACAGGGGAUGCAAGCGUUAUCCGGAAUGAUUGGGCGUAAAGCGUCUGUAGGUGGCUCCUUAAGUCCGCUGUCAAAUCCCAGGGCUCAACCCUGGACAGGCGGUGGAAGCUACUAAGCUGGAGUACGGUAGGGGCAGGGGGAAUUUCCGGUGGAGCGGUGAAAUGCGUAGAGAUCGGAAAGAACACCAAAGGCGAAGGCACCCUGCUGGGCCGACACUGACACUGAGAGACGAAAGCUAGGGGAGCGAAUGGG
This 406-nucleotide ribosomal RNA is filed under the name Acidobacteriota bacterium. RNAcentral describes it as "Acidobacteria bacterium partial 16S ribosomal RNA". It matches the Rfam family "Bacterial small subunit ribosomal RNA", at positions 355 to 776 of the family's 1533-position model. Lineage: Bacteria; Pseudomonadati; Acidobacteriota. The record is from RNAcentral.